RNAcentral lists this ribosomal RNA (305 nucleotides) under uncultured bacterium. Its description in RNAcentral is "bacterial SSU rRNA". It matches the Rfam family "Bacterial small subunit ribosomal RNA", at positions 335 to 658 of the family's 1533-position model. The record is from RNAcentral.
UUUCCUACGGGGCGCAGCAGUGGGGAAUAUUGCACAAUGGGGGAAACCCUGAUGCAGCGACGCCGCGUGAGCGAUGAAGUAUUUCGGUAUGUAAAGCUCUAUCAGCAGGGAAGAAAAUGACGGUACCUGACUAAGAAGCCCCGGCUAACUACGUGCCAGCAGCCGCGGUAAUACGUAGGGGGCAAGCGUUAUCCGGAUUUACUGGGUGUAAAGGGAGCGUAGGCGGCCUGGCAAGCCUGAUGUGAAAUACCGGGGCCCAACCCCGGGCUGCAUUGGGAACUGCCAGGCUGGAGUGCCGGAGAGGC